GGGAUAGCCACGCCCACAAAGGACCACCCCCGAAGAAGACGAUCAUCUGCUUCGAGGGAUCCUUGGGAAUCGCUGGCUACCCCCGGACCUUGGCAUCAGCAUGGGACCAAGCAGCACAGAAGAAUGCAGGAUCGGCCCUGGGAUCAGCGCUGGAUCGGCCCUGGGAUCAUCGUGAGACCAAGCAAAGCAGAAGAACGCCAGAUGGGUGAGAUAAAUCCGUGGCGGAAAUGGGAGGCGAGUGAAUGAGUGCUUGAGUGAGAUGGGGGCCGGCAGCUCGGACCCCCAGAGCGAGAGUGGACCCCCUAGUAUCGCGUUUCCGGUCUCCCGAGAGGGUGCCGGCCGAGAACGGGCGGGAAGCGAAUAGCAUAGAAGAGUGACUGAGGCGCCUCCUUGGGGGAGGGCCCCAUCGAGCGUGCAAAGGCACAAAGGCUCUUGAGGUGUGAGGUAAGAUCCUCGGCAGGGCAGGUGAGAGGUCCCUGGCAGGGCUGCCCCAGAAGGCAGAUGAGAGGAGAUCCCCAACAGGGAAGGUAAUGUCCCUGGCAGGGCUGCCCCAGAAGGCAGAUGAGAGAUCCCCAACAGGGAAGGUAAUGUCCCUGGCAGGGCUGCCCCAGAAGGCAGGUGAGAGGAGACCCCAGCAGGGCAGGUGAGAGGUCUCUGGCAGGGCUGCUCCAGAAGGCAAGUAAAAGAAGAUCCCUGGCACAGCAGGAUGCCCCAUCAGGCAGGCAAGGGAUGAUCCCCGGCAGAGCAGGUGCAAGGUAAUGUCCCUGGCAUAACAAGACAAGAUGCUCCAGUAGGCAGGCGAGAGAAGAUCCCCAGCAGGGCAAGUGAGAGGCCCCUGGCAGGGUUACUCCAGAAGGCAGAUGAGAGAAGAUCCUCAGCAGGGCAGGUGAGAGGUCCCUGGCAGGGCUGCUCCAGAAGGGAAUUGAAAGAGGAUCCCUGGCACGGCAAGAUGCCCCAUCAGGCAGACGAGGAAAGAUCCCCGGCAGAGCAGGUGCAAGGUAAUGUCCCCGGCAUGGCAAAACAAGAUACCCCAGUAGGCAGGUGAGAAAAAGUCCCUGGCAGGGCAGGUAGAAAGUCUCGGGCAGGGCAGGAUGCCCUGACAGGCAGGCAAGGAAGAUCCCUAAUAGGGCAAGUGGGAAGUCCCUGGCAGGAUAGGGCAUGAUGUCCCAGGAGGCAGGUGGGCUGUCCCCAAGACAGUUUAAGCAUAUCCGGGCAAGCAAGUAAGAUAUCAUUACCAAGCAGGAAAGCAGGCAUAAAGGUGAGGAAACAGACAAGAAAGCAGACAGGCAAGCAAGAAGGAAAGCAAGAUUUAUGAGCAAAAAAAAAAAAAGGCAAACAAAAAGAGCAGCCAGAUAAACAAAAAGGGAGGCGAAGGGGACUCGGCCGGAGUUCAGGUGUGAGGCUCGGCAGGACGUUCGACCUCACCCCGGCAGGGAGUUCGAGUCUCCUAAGCCUUGUAGGAAAGGGAGGCGAAGGGGACUCGGCCGGAGUUCGGGUGUGAGGCUCGGCAGGACGUUCGACCUCACCCCGGCAGGGAGUUCGAGUCUCCUAAGCCUUGUAGGAAAGGGAGGCGAAGGGGACUCGGCCGGAGUUCGGGUGUGAGGCUCGGCAGGACGUUCGACCUCACCCCGGCAGGGAGUUCGAGUCUCCUAAGCCUAGGGGGCAAGGGGGGCUUGGCCGGAGUUCAGGUGUGAGGCUCAGCAGGACGUUCGACCUCAGCCUGGCAGGGAGUUCAAGCCUCCUAAGCCUUGUAGGAAAGGGAGGCGAAGGGGACUCGGCCGGAGUUCGGGUGUGAGGCUCGGCAGGACGUUCGACCUCACCCCGGCAGGGAGUUCGAGUCUCCUAAGCCUAGGGGGCAAGGGGGGCUUGGCCGGAGUUCAGGUGUGAGGCUCGGCAGGACGUUCGACCUCAGCCUGGCAGGGAGUUCAAGCCUCCUAAGCCUUGUAGGAAAGGGAGGCGAAGGGGACUCGGCCGGAGUUCGGGUGUGAAGCUCGGCAGGACGUUCGACCUCACCCCGGCAGGGAGUUCAAGUCUCCUAAGCCUAGGGGGCAAGGGGGGCUUGGCCGGAGUUCAGGUGUGAGGCUCGGCAGGACGUUCGACCUCAGCCUGGCAGGGAGUUCAAGCCUCCUAAGCCUUGUAGGAAAGGGAGGCGAAGGGGACUCGGCCGGAGUUCGGGUGUGAGGCUCGGCAGGACGUUCGACCUCACCCCGGCAGGGAGUUCGAGUCUCCUAAGCCUAGGGGGCAAGGGGGGCUUGGCCGGAGUUCAGGUGUGAGGCUCGGCAGGACGUUCGACCUCAGCCUGGCAGGGAGUUCAAGCCUCCUAAGCCUUGUAGGAAAGGGAGGCAAAGGGGACUCGGCCGGAGUUCGGGUGUGAGGCUCGGCAGGACGUUCGACCUCACCCCGGCAGGGAGUUCGAGUCUCCUAAGCCUAGGGGGCAAGGGGGGCUUGGCCGGAGUUCAGGUGUGAGGCUCGGCAGGACGUUCGACCUCAGCCUGGCAGGGAGUUCAAGCCUCCUAAGCCUUGUGAAGUUAGAGAGUUCAAACAAGACUCAGCAGGGGUCCAAGCCUAGAAAGCCUAGAAGGAAGUUCAGACUUAAGUCGAAAAGUUAAGAGAGAUACCCUUAGCAGAAAACAAUGGGUGUGAUUCAUAGUAGUAAGUGUCAUAGCCAAGAGAGAGUUUUAAAAAGAGACAGACGAAAAAGUUUCUAAAGUGGGUUGCCAAGAAAUUAUAUUCUGACCCUUUAAAGUUCAGCAAAGAGAUUCAGAAUGUUUAGUUGUGAGAGAUCAGACAACCUUUAGUUAUCUUAAAGUUUAGAUUGCCAAUCAGAAUAUUCCAGUUUAGAUUGAAGCAUUGUUAAAGUACUUCGUUUUUCCUUUUAUUUUAAGGCCUAAAAACUGAGAUGAUGUUAUAGUAAACAAGCAGACCCUUCCAAAAGGACAGUAAAGAAGAUUCUCCCUAACAUCCCCCUAGAACAAUUGUCAGACCAAUAAUAUCCUUAAAAGACCACAAAGAGUCCAGAUAAAGUUAAGAUGACAUGUUAUAGUAAAAGAAUAUAGCUGAGAUUAAAAUUACAAAGAGAGUAGUCAUAGUGUAAGACCUGAAUUCAGUAAAUGUGUAACCACUUAAACCAACACCUCUAAGCCCAAGAAGACCCUGAUGUAAAACCACUAUCUUAUGCAGCCUGCUGGCUAGAAAACUAUAAGUAAUGAAAAUGUGAAAAGAUGCAAACUCUCCCUCCUACCCCAGCUGUACCUCCAGUCUCUUCCUUAACCUCUCCAACAGUUCCCCUUCACCAAUUGUGAUACCCUCACUUCCCCACUUGGGAGUGGGAACCACCCCUGCCCAGUGUUUCUCUUGGCCUGUCUCCACUACUGCUCCCUCUACCUGGUGUUUUAGAGGAAGAGACAGAUUACAACACCCAAUCCAAAGCACCAAGAACAGAGGAGGUCUUUCCCCUUAGAAAAGUUCCUAUAGAUUAAUUAAAAAGAUUAAAAUUUAUAAAUGCACCUUUGACAGCCCCUGAAGCCCAAGACUCUAAGAAAGAGAGAGGGUUUAGUAGAAGACCCCAUUAGAAUGUCUAACCAGCUAGACCAGCUUCUGAGGCCAAAUAGUUAUUUCUAGAGAGAGUUAAACUCUAUUCUAAUAGUUCCGUUCACUCCAGAAGAAGCCUGGAUAGUCCAGAUAGCAAAAAAAAAAAAAAAAAAAAAAAAAUAGACUGUGACACCCAAGAGACCAUAAGAUGCCCUUAAUAGACACCAGCUAAAAUUCAGACCAAGAAAAAAAAAAAAAAAAAAGCGAAGCAUGAGAGA
This is a long non-coding RNA of Prinia subflava (tawny-flanked prinia), 3809 nucleotides long. RefSeq lists it as uncharacterized. The record is from RefSeq and is a predicted model, not a curated record. The transcript is spliced from 2 exons. Lineage: Eukaryota; Metazoa; Chordata; Aves; Passeriformes; Cisticolidae.